AUGCAAGCUCACAACCUAUGUCUUCUGAAGAAAAAUCAUUUCUGUUGCAGAUUUUGCAUUUAGACCGAAUGAGAACCAUUUUGUUGCCCAUCCGAGGAUAAGGAAAAGGCCAACCCCACCAAAACGGUCAACAAGGUUCUUUGUUUGUUUACCCCUUGGCUGGUGAAAGAUUGUUGUGCAUCAAGUUAACCUGUGGCUGUUCCUUGUUGCUGGUGUCUUGUUACAGAAGUUGCAGGCAGUUUCGCGUAGUUGCUGUCCGCUGUGGUACGUUGUUGCAGCCUAUGCUGGUGAUAGAUCUUUCUGCAUCAAAUUCAAUUGGCCGUUCCUUGGUGCUGGUGUCGUGUUAAAGUUGCAUUAUUAUUUUAUUAAAUUGGCAUUGUGUCAAUGUAGUUUAGCGUUAUUAUGUUAAGAAGAAACAAAAAAGAAAUAUGGGGUGUUUAUGUCAAACAAAUAAUAAACAUGAUUUUGGGAUUGGGAAA
RNAcentral lists this long non-coding RNA (479 nucleotides) under Daphnia pulex (common water flea). RNAcentral describes it as "uncharacterized LOC124201783, transcript variant X1". The record is from RNAcentral. Lineage: Eukaryota; Metazoa; Arthropoda; Branchiopoda; Diplostraca; Daphniidae.